GCCUGGAGUUGAACCGGGGCCUUCUCGCUGUGAGGCGAGAGCGCUAACCACUGCGCCACCGUACAGCCCACGGUUAAACAGAUGGGCUAAUUCCAUCCUACAACUGAUAUUGUAAAGAUUUUUUUUCCAUUUCUUUAAACAUUGAUGCUUUUUACCCAGCAGAAAAAUUACAGGCAACUUCCAGCCAAACAAGCUGCCUCUGAAAUUCUUGGCGCAAACCCUGUGCAGAGCUCUUCAAUGGAAGAGGAGGUCACGGCUCUUAGGAGAGAAAAUAAGACUCCUGGAGCAACUAAGCGUGUCUUCUUCAACCGCAGAAGACCUCAGAGCCCAAGUCACAUCAUUGAAAAAAGAAAUCAGCAGGCUGCACAAAAUGGCAAGAAUAAUUUUGCAAGAAAUUGAUUUGAUAAAAUAUUUUUGUUUUUUUCCUUUUGUGGCUUUCUUUAAUUUUAAUUCUUAUCAUUAAUUGUGUGCAGUUCAUGUCGGAAGACUUCACACAAGCUGCUCUCUGUUGGGGGAAACAAACCCAUCCUACACCUCCCAAACCAGCAUCAGUAUAAUCUUCUUCAAUCACCUUCUUACACUUCAUUAGGUGCCACUAGGGACUGAUGGAGAUGUGAGGGUGUCGGCCCAUUGCUGGGAAACUGCUAGGGCCCAAGCGACUGCCAAAGGGAUGGCGCGGACCUGUCUGCUCGGCCGUUUCAGUGUUGAGGUCCUCCUUAAGUCCAACCUUAUGGGAGGGCAGAACAAGGUUGAACCUUCGGCCGAGCGACGUCUGGCUCUGGACCCCCAGAAGUUAAAGGCUCUGCUUGAUGUGGUUAUCCAGCACCAUCCAGAGGCAAAGGUGGCUGAGAUAAGGGCAAGCAUAAAUCAAAAAAUCUGCGAACUCCGGCACCAAGAGAAAAAUAAUACGAUCCACAGUCAUUUCUUAAAAAUGUAACAUUUCUUAGAAGUUUUAAGCUACAUUUUUAGUUUGAAUUUAAAAUUGUUUUGUGUUUUUUAUUUGAAUAAAAUUCAGAAAUUCA
Oryzias melastigma (Indian medaka) is the source of this 1022-nucleotide long non-coding RNA. RefSeq lists it as uncharacterized. The record is from RefSeq and is a predicted model, not a curated record. The transcript has 2 exons. NCBI's taxonomy places the organism in Eukaryota, Metazoa, Chordata, Actinopteri, Beloniformes, Adrianichthyidae.